GGCAGCGUGGCUUAAUGGAAAGAGUGUGAGACUGGAAAUCAGGAGACCUGGUUCUAGUCCCAGUGCUGCUC
Molecule: transfer RNA, 71 nt
Filed under: Ornithorhynchus anatinus (platypus)
Lineage: Eukaryota; Metazoa; Chordata; Mammalia; Monotremata; Ornithorhynchidae
Rfam family: tRNA
About the family: Transfer RNA (tRNA) molecules are approximately 80 nucleotides in length. Their secondary structure includes four short double-helical elements and three loops (D, anti-codon, and T loops). Further hydrogen bonds mediate the characteristic L-shaped molecular structure. tRNAs have two regions of fundamental functional importance: the anti-codon, which is responsible for specific mRNA codon recognition, and the 3' end, to which the tRNAs corresponding amino acid is attached (by aminoacyl-tRNA synthetases). tRNAs cope with the degeneracy of the genetic code in two manners: having more than one tRNA (with a specific anti-codon) for a particular amino acid; and 'wobble' base-pairing, i.e. permitting non-standard base-pairing at the 3rd anti-codon position.
Source: Rfam by way of RNAcentral